CCGCCUCCUCCUCCCAUCCCGCCUGCUCGGCGGCGGAGGCGGCGGCGGCGGCAGCGGUUGUUCCUGCCUCUCCGCCACCUCCACCGCGGCUUAUCCCCUGGCUGGCGGCGUUGGCGGGGCGGGGGACAGUAGUUGUAGACGCCCGCCCCUGCCUCAGAGAAGAUACCACACUGAAUGAACAAAGACUGAACCUUUACAGAUACCUUUUAUAAAAGAUGUCUGUGGAGUAGUGUUACAGUUCAAAUAACAAAGGAUUUUGCAUUAUGAGAUGAAUGAGAGUGGAGAAUUGGACAAAAAUUGAUUUUUAGUUUCUGAAUCAUGGUUUUUAGCUCACCAGUUAUUGUAUAGUCUCACUCUUUGAAAGUUCAUGCUGAAAAACUGAGUGAAUAUGAUCAGAUUUCUCCACCAAAUUCUCAGCCUGAUAAGGGUAAGUAAGGUUCCAUUCACCUCUUUGUUCAUCUCUGUGCCAUCUGUGGUCCUUUGGAACUGGCUUCUUUCACAUAGCAUAAUGUCUUCAAGCUUCAUUCGUGUUGUACCAUAUAUCAGUACUUCAUUCCUUUUUACUGCUAAAUAAUAUUAUAUGAAUAUACCGCAUUUUGUUUAUCCAUUUAUCGGUUGAUGGGCAUUGGGUUGAUUAUUUCUACUUUUUAGUUGUGAUGAAUAGUGCUGUUGUGAACAUUUGUGUACAACUUCUUGCAUAGACAUAGGUUUUCAUUCUUUUGGCUGUAUAUGGGUGGAAUUGCUAAGUGGAAUUGAUGAAACUGCUGCUAAGUUAUUUUCCAAAGUAGGUGCACCAUUUUACAUUUCCACAAACAAUGAAUGAAGUUUCCA
Long non-coding RNA from Mandrillus leucophaeus (drill), 831 nucleotides. RefSeq lists it as uncharacterized. The record is from RefSeq and is a predicted model, not a curated record. The transcript is spliced from 3 exons. NCBI's taxonomy places the organism in Eukaryota, Metazoa, Chordata, Mammalia, Primates, Cercopithecidae.